GACGAACGCUGGCGGCGUGCUUAACACAUGCAAGUCGAACGGAAAGGCCCUGCUUUUGUGGGGUGCUCGAGUGGCGAACGGGUGAGUAACACGUGAGUUACCUGUCACUGACUUUGGGAUAACUUCAGGAAACUGGGGGUAAUACCGGAUAGGAGUUCCUGCUGUUUGGUGGGGGUUGGAAAGUUUCGGUGGUUGGGGGUGGACUCGCGGCUUAUCAGCUUGUUGGUGUGGUAGUGGCUUACCAAGGCUUUGACGGGUAGCCGGCCUGGUAGGGUAGCCUGCCACAUUAGAACUGGAAUGCGGCCCAGACUCCUACGGGAGGCGGCAGUGGAGAAGAUUGCACAGUGGGCGGAAGCCUGAUGCAGCAACGCCGCGUGCGGGAUGACGGCCUUCGGGUUGUAAACCACUGUCGCCUGGGACGAAGCGUGAAUGACGGUAAUGGGUAAAGAAGCACCGGCUAACUACGUG
This 468-nucleotide ribosomal RNA is filed under the name uncultured bacterium. Its description in RNAcentral is "partial 16S ribosomal RNA". It matches the Rfam family "Bacterial small subunit ribosomal RNA", at positions 28 to 507 of the family's 1533-position model. The record is from RNAcentral.